This 162-nucleotide ribosomal RNA is filed under the name uncultured bacterium. RNAcentral describes it as "partial 16S ribosomal RNA". It matches the Rfam family "Bacterial small subunit ribosomal RNA", at positions 1340 to 1500 of the family's 1533-position model. The record is from RNAcentral.
AAUGGCAGGUCAGCAUACUGCCGUGAAUACGUUCCCGGGCCUUGUACACACCGCCCGUCCACACCAUGAGAGUUGGGAAUGCCCGAAGCCUGUGAGCUAACAUUUAUGAGGCAGCAGUCGAAGGUAGAAUCAAUGAUUGGGGUGAAGUCGUAACAAGGUACC